RNAcentral lists this ribosomal RNA (497 nucleotides) under uncultured bacterium. RNAcentral describes it as "partial 16S ribosomal RNA". It matches the Rfam family "Bacterial small subunit ribosomal RNA", at positions 28 to 507 of the family's 1533-position model. The record is from RNAcentral.
GAUGAACGCUGGCGGCGUGCCUAAUACAUGCAAGUCGAGCGAACGGACGAGAAGCUUGCUUCUCUGAUGUUAGCGGCGGACGGGUGAGUAACACGUGGAUAACCUACCUAUAAGACUGGGAUAACUUCGGGAAACCGUAGCUAAUACCGGAUAAUAUUUUGAACCGCAUGGUUCAAAAGUGAAAGACGGUCUUGCUGUCACUUAUAGAUGGAUCCGCGCUGCAUUAGCUAGUUGGUAAGGUAACGGCUUACCAAGGCAACGAUGCAUAGCCGACCUGAGAGGGUGAUCGGCCACACUGGAACUGAGACACGGUCCAGACUCCUACUGAAGGCAGCAGUAUGGAAUCUUCCGCAAUGGGCGAAAGCCUGACGGAGCAGCGCCGCGUGAGUGAUGAAGGUCUUCGGAUCGUAAGACUCUGUUAUUAGGGAAGAACAUAUGUGUAAGUAACUGUGCACAUCUUGACGGUACCUAAUCAGAAAGCCACGGCUAACUACGUG